Molecule: ribosomal RNA, 415 nt
Filed under: uncultured prokaryote
Description: bacterial SSU rRNA
Rfam family: Bacterial small subunit ribosomal RNA
Source: RNAcentral
GUGUCAGCCGCCGCGGUAAUACGGAGGGUGCGAGCGUUAAUCGGAAUUACUGGGCGUAAAGCGCGCGUAGGUGGCCAUGUAAGUCGGAUGUGAAAGCCCCGGGCUUAACCUGGGAACUGCAUUCGAAACUGUGUGGCUAGAGUAUGGUAGAGGGAAGCGGAAUUCCGGGUGUAGCGGUGAAAUGCGUAGAUAUCCGGAGGAACACCAGUGGCGAAGGCGGCUUCCUGGACCAAUACUGACACUGAGGUGCGAAAGCGUGGGUAGCAAACAGGAUUAGAUACCCUGGUAGUCCACGCCCUAAACGAUGUCAACUAGCCGUUGGGUUCAUUAAAGAGCUUAGUGGCGCAGCUAACGCGAUAAGUUGACCGCCUGGGGAGUACGGCCGCAAGGUUAAAACUCAAAUGAAUUGGCGGGG